UGCUUUUAUUUAUUUUUGUGUGAAGGCAUGAAAUAUAAUGGUGCUCUAUUUGCAUUUGUAUGGGCAUUAAUGUGGGCAUGCAAUCCUUCAUUAAUCCAAAGUCAUGUACAAAACACUAGCUUGUUAGGAGAUGAAAAGUAUUCAGUGAAUGAACCAGAUUUCAGCCAAGACCAUUAAGGAAUUUUAUUCUUGAGAGAGUACAAAUGUUUUUGCACGUCUUUGCUCAAAGCUUUUAGGAUGAUUUAAGUUUCUUCGAAGCUUGCUUGGAAAAAAGUUUGGUGAUCAAAUUUCAGAUAUUGUUAGCAUCCAAGUGCUCUUGGGUUUGUAAACCAGAAAUGUCAAUCCAAACUGAAGCUUUUGAUAGUGAUAUCAGAGCCCUUGAUGCUGGUGAUCAAAUUCUCAAAUCAAGUUACUAGCCUUUUGAUUGCUUCAGAUUUCUGAAGCCAAAGUCUUUGUGCUCUAAAUUCAGUUCUUGGCCAUGUAAUCUUGUCAUGCUUAGAUAGCUAUAUCUAGUGUCCUGCCAGCUUAAUUUUGAUGCGUAAGUAUCAAUUAUUAAAAGUUAGAUUCAUUCUG
This is a long non-coding RNA of Coffea eugenioides, 573 nucleotides long. RefSeq lists it as uncharacterized. Lineage: Eukaryota; Viridiplantae; Streptophyta; Magnoliopsida; Gentianales; Rubiaceae. The record is from RefSeq and is a predicted model, not a curated record. The transcript has 3 exons.